Molecule: long non-coding RNA, 831 nt
Organism: Rosa chinensis
Lineage: Eukaryota; Viridiplantae; Streptophyta; Magnoliopsida; Rosales; Rosaceae
Exons: 2
Source: RefSeq, a predicted model, not a curated record
AAAGACUUAGAUAGAAAGAGAAAGAGAGAUUGUUUAACCAAAAUAUAUAUCUUCAGAGUUCAGACCAAAGCAGAAAAACAAAAUCCUCCGAUUUCUUCUCUUUCUUCUUUCCUUUCCUUGUUUUUCCAUCUUCUUUUUCUUCUUCUCCAGAUCUGCAACAUUUUCAUACCUAGUUUGUUGUUGAGCAUAGUGGAUCGGCUUUCUUCCUCUCUCUCUAUUAUUUUCGAACCCAAAUCCGAUCCCCAAUCUAAGAAAAAGAUAGUUUGAUAUCAGAUCUUUGCUUGAUCCCUUAUCUCGAUAUUAUGCUCAAAUCGUUUAGGAUCUUGAAUUAUUUUUAAUCUUCUUGGUUCCUGUUGUUUGUUGUGGAAUAGAUGUGUGGGUUUAUGAAAAUAUUUGCGAGAUCUGGGUUUUGCAGAAUCUUUGUGAUUAGAAAUCGGAGGUGGAGGUGGAGGUGAAAGAGAGCAAUCCUGGGUUUCAGCGCACGAAAAAUUUGAAACACGUACAGAUGCUUGAUUAGUUACUCUCCGUUUGAAGUUUUGCUUCUUAUUUCAUCUAAGCUUAGAAGGAGCUAGCCAAGAGGACAAGUAUUGACGUGUGGACUUGCUUUGAUUAUCAGCCUCAGCAAAAGAGCGUUGGUUUUCCAGAGAGUACAACCUCGAAAAGAAAGGAGCAAAACAAAAUAGUAGCAGCUACAUUUUUCUUUCUUAUUGUGUUGUUGUAUUAUGUUUUUCGUUCUUCCCUUGUAAAUAUUUACUGGGAGAGGUAUUGGCGUUGAUCCUCCGCUUCCUCCCUGUAUCAUUAUUUCUCGAAUAAAUUGGAUAUUUUGAUGAU